AGCGAACGCUGGCGGUAGGCCUAACACAUGCAGGUCGAACGGCAGCACAGUAAGAGCUUGCUCUUACGGGUGGCGAGUGGCGGACGGGUGAGGAAUACAUCGGAAUCUACUUUUUCGUGGGGGAUAACGUAGGGAAACUUACGCUAAUACCGCAUACGACCUACGGGUGAAAGCAGGGGAUCUUCGGACCUUGCGCGAUUGAAUGAGCCGAUGUCGGAUUAGCUAGUUGGCGGGGUAAAGGCCCACCAAGGCGACGAUCCGUAGCUGGUCUGAGAGGAUGAUCAGCCACACUGGAACUGAGACACGGUCCAGACUCCUACGGGAGGCAGCAGUGGGGAAUAUUGGACAAUGGGCGCAAGCCUGAUCCAGCCAUACCGCGUGGGUGAAGAAGGCCUUCGGGUUGUAAAGCCCUUUUGUUGGGAAAGAAAAGCAGCAGGUUAAUACCCCGCUGUUCUGACGGUACCCAAAGAAUAAGCACCGGCUAACUUCGUG
Molecule: ribosomal RNA, 492 nt
Filed under: uncultured bacterium
Lineage: Bacteria
Description: partial 16S ribosomal RNA
Rfam family: Bacterial small subunit ribosomal RNA
Source: RNAcentral